RNAcentral lists this ribosomal RNA (1223 nucleotides) under human gut metagenome. RNAcentral describes it as "bacterial LSU rRNA". It matches the Rfam family "Bacterial large subunit ribosomal RNA", at positions 1131 to 2442 of the family's 2925-position model. The record is from RNAcentral.
UGCGUAAUAGCUCACUGGUCGAGUGAUUCUGCGCCGAAAAUUUAACGGGGCUAAACUAUACACCGAAGCUUAGGAUACCGCAAGGUAUGGUAGGAGAGCGUUCUGUACGGAGUGAAGUCGUAGCGAAAGCGGCGGUGGACUGUACAGAAGUGAGAAUGCCGGAAUAAGUAGCGAGAAUUAAGUGAGAAUCUUAAUGGCCGAAAGUCUAAGGUUUUUGGAGGAAGGUUCGUCCGCUCCAAGUAAGUCGGGAGCUAAGGUCAGGCCGAAAGGCGUAGCCGAUGCACAAACGGUUGAUAUUCCGUUACCGUCUACAAUUUAAACAAAGGGACACAUACAAAGCGUUUAACCCGGGCGAUGGUUGACCCGGGCGCAAGGGACUGAAAUUAGAGUAGGGAAGUAAAUGUGGCGUAUGGCGAGAAAAGCUUUGUGAAUAGAAGUAGACGCCCGUACCGCAAACCGACACAGGUGGACAGGAAGAGAAUUCUAAGGCCAGCGGGAGAAGGGUAGUUAAGGAACUCGGCAAAUUGACUCCGUAACUUCGGAAUAAGGAGUGCUCGAAAGAGCCGCAGAGAAUAGGCCCAGGCGACUGUUUAGCAAAAACACAGGUCUCUGCCAAAUCGAAAGAUGAAGUAUAGGGGCUGACACCUGCCCGGUGCCGGAAGGUUAAGAGGAGGAGUGCAAGCUCCGAAUUGAAGCCCCGGUAAACGGCGGCCGUAACUAUAACGGUCCUAAGGUAGCGAAAUUCCUUGUCGGGUAAGUUCCGACCCGCACGAAUGGUGUAACGAUCUGGGCACUGUCUCAACUACCCACCCGGCGAAAUUGUAGUACCGGUGAAGAUGCCGGUUACCUGCGGCAAGACGGAAAGACCCCAUGGAGCUUUACUGUAGCCUGAUAUUGGGUUUCGGAAAUCUAUGUACAGGAUAGGCGGGAGACUGGGAAGUAUGAGCGUCAGCUUAUACGGAGUCAUUGUUGGGAUACCGCCCUUAGGUUUCUGGAAUUCUAACCUGCGACCGUGAAUCCGGUCGGGGGACAUUGUCAGGUGGGCAGUUUGACUGGGGCGGUCGCCUCCGAAAAGGUAACGGAGGCGCUCAAAGGUUAGCUCAGCACGGACGGAAACCGUGCCUCUGAGUGUAAACGCAAAAGCUAGCCUAACUGCGAGGGUGACGGCCCGAGCAGUAACGAAAGUUGGAGUUAGUGAUCCGGCGGUAUGUGAAUGGAAAUGC